Molecule: ribosomal RNA, 460 nt
Filed under: uncultured bacterium
Lineage: Bacteria
Description: partial 16S ribosomal RNA
Rfam family: Bacterial small subunit ribosomal RNA
Source: RNAcentral
CCUACGGGAGGCAGCAGUGAGGAAUAUUGGUCAAUGGGCGAGAGCCUGAACCAGCCAAGUCGCGUGAAGGAUGAAGGAUCUAUGGUUUGUAAACUUCUUUUAUAUGGGAAUAAAGUGAGGAACGUGUUCCUUUUUGUAUGUACCAUAUGAAUAAGCAUCGGCUAACUCCGUGCCAGCAGCCGCGGUAAUACGGAGGAUGCGAGCGUUAUCCGGAUUUAUUGGGUUUAAAGGGUGCGUAGGUGGUUAAUUAAGUCAGCGGUGAAAGUUUGUGGCUCAACCAUAAAAUUGCCGUUGAAACUGGUUGAGUUGAGUAUAUUUGAGGGAGGCGGAAUGCGUGGUGUAGCGGUGAAAUGCAUAGAUAUUACGCAGAACUCCGAGUGCGAAGGCAGCUUACGAAACUAUAACUGACACUGAAGGACGAAAGCGUGGGGAUCAAACAGGAUUAGAUACCCCAGUAGUC